Molecule: long non-coding RNA, 920 nt
Filed under: Struthio camelus australis
Lineage: Eukaryota; Metazoa; Chordata; Aves; Struthioniformes; Struthionidae
Description: lncRNA (ENSSCUG00000008770.1)
Source: RNAcentral
UAACCUACAAAGCCUUUACAGCAUGCCUUUACAGCCGUGUUUCCAGUGCAGCCUGCAGCCUGUGCACCACUGCGACCCCUGCGUCACUGUAUGACCCAAGCACCUUUACCCAAACUCGUCCCUUUGUCUUCUGUGACCAAGCCAGGAUCAAACCAACAGCUGCAAUAGAAAUCACCCACAGUGUUUAGAUCAUGAACAACGCUGAAUCGUGAGCAAGCUAGGUGCUGAGAUAGAGGAGGGAAGCUUGUCAGCUUGCAGCGAUCUGUCACUCCAUCUCCUGGCCAAGAGUUCCCUUCCGGAGUCGCCUGCAAGCCACACACACAUAAAGAAGGAGCAGGAUAUCCCUGUGGAUAGAAGCGGUCCUGUUCAAGCUGCAAUGCCAAGGAGAUAGUGCUGGGAUGGUGCUCCGCAUUCUGGACCCACAGCGCUGCCUGUCCUGACAGCAGCUUUCAGCUUGGGGUGAGGACUGUGCCGAGGUGCCCCGCUAGUCUGCAGGAGCACAGUGGCUUUUGCACACAUCCUGCAUGGCAAUCCUCCGAAAACUCACCCCUGCGAGCCACGAUAGUCGCCCUGGCAAACGCAGUCGAGGAGCUUCACUCACCAGCCGAGGAAAGGGUCAAAACUCCUGUGAGCACCUUACACAGAAACUGCAAACGUGGACAGCUUGCAGACAGAUUAAGAGACCUGCAGAAGUGGAGUCCACUCUUCUUCCGCAGCUGGCCAAGCCGGGGGCAGGACAACAUCGGAGGACCUUGCCUGUAACUCUCAUCUCAGUGCUGCAUUACAAAAAGACUCCUCCAGGAACCCCAUCGUUCUGCUUUCAAGCUUUACACUGGGGCAUGUUGGAAGCCAACCAAAAUGAUUGCAGAUGUGGUAUUUUUGUCCAGCCCUGUCCAAGAGCAGAGUCUUUCUUGAAAUGA